CCUAUGGGUGGCAGCAGUGAGGAAUAUUGGUCAAUGGCCGUAAGGCUGAACCAGCCAAGUCGCGUGAAGGAAGAAGGAUCUAUGGUUGGUAAACUUCUUUUAUAGGGGAAUAAAGGUAUCCACGUGUGGAUCUUUGCAUGUACCCUAUGAAUAAGCAUCGGCUAACUCCGUGCCAGCAGCCGCGGUAAUACGGGGGAUGCGAGCGUUAUACGGAUUGAGUGGGCUUAACGGGAGCGUAGGUUGUUUUUUAAGUCAGCGGUGAAAGUUUGUGGCUCAACCAUAAAAUGGCCGUUGAAACUGGAAGACUGGAGUGUGUGUGAGGUAGGCGGAAUGCGUGGUGUAGCGGUGAAAUGCAUAGAUAUCACGCAGAACUCCGAUUGCGAAGGCAGCUUACUAAGCCAUAACUGACACUGAAGCACGAAAGCGUGGGGAUCAAACAGGAUUAGAUACCCCAGUAGUC
RNAcentral lists this ribosomal RNA (460 nucleotides) under uncultured bacterium. RNAcentral's name for it is "partial 16S ribosomal RNA". It matches the Rfam family "Bacterial small subunit ribosomal RNA", at positions 338 to 795 of the family's 1533-position model. The record is from RNAcentral.